AUGGCAUUUCAGCAAGAGGCCGUAGGAAAGCUAUGGGAGGAGCUCGGCCACGGCUACAAUCUCAGCGCCAAGCUUCUGGCUUUGCUCAGCCAACCCGGUCACCUCCUCGAUAGCCAUGGCCAGGAGAUGGCUGUGGCCAUAAGCCAAGAGCUUUCUCAGGUGUUCAGGGCGUCUCUGUUGAUGCUCAACCCCGGCAACAGUGGUAGGGUGGUGGAAGGCAGGGCGACAGCGCCCGAGGCUGCGAUCAUGGAGGGUAGCAUCAGCCAGGCCACUCCGGCGAUCAUCAGUGGAGAAGAAGUUACUCCCCCAAGAAUAGGUAAAGAAGAGGAGAUUACAGCCGAGCCUUACAAGGAUGGUUACAAAUGGAAAAAAUAUGGGCAAAAGAACAUUAAGAACAGGAAGUUUGCAAGCGGUAUAUUUGUUAGUGACUUAACAGUCAAUAAGCUGUCAACCAACAAAAGGUUGUACUUCCGAUGCAUGCAUAGCCAUGAGCGCGGCUGCAGGGCGAAGAAGCAGGUGCAGCAGCAGGAUAACAGCAUCGGCAAUCCUCCAUUGUACAAGGUCACAUGCCUGAACGAGCACACAUGCCACCAAGCGUUUCCUAACGUGAACAUCACCAAUGCAAAUUUAGCCGCGACGAGCACUACGACAAGGAACGGCGCCGACUAUGAUCCCGCUCGCGGCCACCUCCACGUCGGCGGGAACGGCGAGUUAGAGGACAGAAUCAUGACCUCGACCUUCAGCACGGUCAUCGGUGGAGCUGCCCUUGCUGCUCCGUCGUUGUCGCCCGUGCCGUCGCCGCCUCCCGUGGAAGCGAGCCCGAGCGGUCCGGCGUCGUACGACACGGGUGGUGGACAAUCGCCGAGCCUGCUGGACUUGAGCAUGUGCCUGGACGAGACGAUGAUGGACGAGAUGUAUUUCUCGUGCGGUUCGCCAUUUCCUCCUGUCGAGGCAAACGCAGCUCCAUGGUCGUUGUCGUCCUUGCCGCCGCCGCCGCCGCCCAUGGAAGCGAGCUCGAUUGAUCCGGCGGCGUACAUGCCGCCCCGCUGUGGACACUCACUGAGCCUGGACGCGAUGACGAUGGCGGAGAUUUUUCUCUGGAGCAGCCCGCUAUUUUCUCCACGUUGA
RNAcentral lists this ribosomal RNA (1128 nucleotides) under Triticum aestivum (bread wheat). Its description in RNAcentral is "partial small subunit ribosomal RNA". Lineage: Eukaryota; Viridiplantae; Streptophyta; Magnoliopsida; Poales; Poaceae. The record is from RNAcentral.